RNAcentral lists this ribosomal RNA (492 nucleotides) under uncultured bacterium. RNAcentral's name for it is "partial 16S ribosomal RNA". It matches the Rfam family "Bacterial small subunit ribosomal RNA", at positions 28 to 507 of the family's 1533-position model. The record is from RNAcentral.
GAUGAACGCUAGCUACAGGCUUAACACAUGCAAGUCGAGGGGAAACGACAUCGAAUUCUUGCUUUUGAUGGGCGUCGACCGGCGCACGGGACAGUAACGCGUAUCCCAUCUGCCCAUCACAUGGGAAUAACCUUGCGAAACUAAGACUAAUACCCAUUGUUAUCCCACGAAGGCAUCGGAAUGGGACUGAAGUUUUAUCGGUGAUGGAUGGGGAUGCGUCUGAUUAGCUUGUUGGCGGGGUAACGGCCUACCAAGGCAACGAUCAGUAGGGGUUCUGAGAGGAGGGUCCCCCACAUUGGAACUGAGACCCGGUCCACGCUGCUACGGGAGAGAGCGGUGAGGAAUGUUGGUGAAUGGAGGAGAGCCUAAACCAGCCAAGUAGGGUGCAGGAAGACGGCGCUAGGGAUUGUAAACUACUUUUAUAAGACAAUAAUGUGAGUCACGUGUGACUUUUUGCAGGUACCUAAUCAAUAAGGACCGGCUAAUUACGUG